This 312-nucleotide small nuclear RNA is filed under the name Chinchilla lanigera (long-tailed chinchilla). Its description in RNAcentral is "7SK RNA (ENSCLAG00000022036.1)". It matches the Rfam family "7SK RNA". From Rfam's summary of the family: 7SK was discovered as an abundant small nuclear RNA in the mid-70s but a possible function has only recently been suggested. The record is from RNAcentral. Lineage: Eukaryota; Metazoa; Chordata; Mammalia; Rodentia; Chinchillidae.
GUAUGCCAGGGUGAUCUGGCUGUGACAUCUGUCACCCCAUUGAUCACUAGGGUUGAUUCAGCUGAGAUGGCUACCUAGGCAAGUGUCCCCUUCCUCCUUCACUGCUUUAUGUGUGUUCAUGCCCAAGGUACCCCCCGGGUGAAGAGGAUGACCACCCCUAAUAGAGGAGGACCAUUUCCUUGGUCAACAGUAAAUGAGUAGCUGCACUCCCCUACUAGCACCUCCAAACAAGCUCCCACCUGAGAAGGGCCUUCUUGCUAAAAGAAUUAACUGAGAAAAGAAAUACAAAGCAUGUAGCAUAGCCUGAUCCUU